AUGAACAAGAUGACAGGACGCAUCGGCGACUCGCCCCUCAUCGGCGCCGGCACCUACGCGUGCGGUCUCUGCGCCGUGUCGUGCACCCUGGCGCGAGACGUGGCGGCCGUCAUGGAGUACAAGGGGCUGCCUCUGCAGGAGGCCGUGGAUUUCUGCGUCAAGGAGCGGCUCGACGAGGGCUUCGCGGGGCUCAUCGCCGUGUCUGGCACCGGCGAGGUGGCGUACGGGUUCAACUGCACCGGCAUGUUCAGGGGCUGCGCCACCGAGGACGGCUUCAUGGAGGUCGGCAUCUGGGAGUGA
Molecule: ribosomal RNA, 300 nt
Filed under: Triticum aestivum (bread wheat)
Lineage: Eukaryota; Viridiplantae; Streptophyta; Magnoliopsida; Poales; Poaceae
Description: partial small subunit ribosomal RNA
Source: RNAcentral